Molecule: ribosomal RNA, 504 nt
Filed under: uncultured bacterium
Lineage: Bacteria
Description: bacterial SSU rRNA
Rfam family: Bacterial small subunit ribosomal RNA
Source: RNAcentral
UGGCUCAGGAUGAACGCUAGCGACAGGCCUAACACAUGCAAGUCGAGGGGCAGCACAAGGAGCAAUCUGAGGUGGCGACCGGCGCACGGGUGAGUAACACGUAUGCAACCUGCCUGUAAGCGGGGAAUAACCCGUUGAAAGACGGACUAAUACCGCAUAAUACUAAAUUACUGCAUGGUAAUUUAUUUAAACAUUUAUGGCUUACAGAUGGGCAUGCGCAUGAUUAGCUAGUUGGAGAGGUAACGGCUCCCCAAGGCAACGAUCAUUAGGGGUUCUGAGAGGAAGGUCCCCCCACACUGGUACUGAGACACGGACCAGACUCCUACGGGAGGCAGCAGUGAGGAAUAUUGGUCAAUGGACGAGAGUCUGAACCAGCCAAGUCGCGUGCAGGAAGAAUGUCCUAUGGAUUGUAAACUGCUUUUGCAGGGGAAUAAAGUGCAUCACGUGUGAUGUUUUGUAUGUACUCUGCGAAUAAGGAUCGGCUAACUCCGUGCCAGCCGCGGC